AACUCGCUGUGAAGAUGCAGUGUACCCGCGGCAAGACGGAAAGACCCCGUGAACCUUUACUAUAGCUUGACACUGAACAUUGAGCCUUGAUGUGUAGGAUAGGUGGGAGGCUUUGAAGUGUGGACGCCAGUCUGCAUGGAGCCGACCUUGAAAUACCACCCUUUAAUGUUUGAUGUUCUAACGUGGACCCGUAAUCCGGGUUGCGGACAGUGUCUGGUGGGUAGUUUGACUGGGGCGGUCUCCUCCUAAAGAGUAACGGAGGAGCACGAAGGUUGGCUAAUCCUGGUCGGACAUCAGGAGGUUAGUGCAAUGGCAUAAGCCAGCUUGACUGCGAGCGUGACGGCGCGAGCAGGUGCGAAAGCAGGUCAUAGUGAUCCGGUGGUUCUGAAUGGAAGGGCCAUCGCUCAACGGAUAAAAGGUACUCCGGGGAUAACAGGCUGAUACCGCCCAAGAGUUCAUAUCGACGGCGGUGUUUGGCACCUCGAUGUCGGCUCAUCACAUCCUGGGGCUGAAGUAGGUCCCAAGGGUAUGGCUGUUCGCCAUUUAAAGUGGUACGCGAGCUGGGUUUAGAACGUCGUGAGACAGUUCGGUCCCUAUCUGCCGUGGGCGCUGGAGAACUGAGGGGGGCUGCUCCUAGUACGAGAGGACCGGAGUGGACGCAUCACUGGUGUUCGGGUUGUCAUGCCAAUGGCACUGCCCGGUAGCUAAAUGCGGAAGAGA
RNAcentral lists this ribosomal RNA (720 nucleotides) under Salmonella enterica. RNAcentral's name for it is "partial 23S ribosomal RNA". It matches the Rfam family "Bacterial large subunit ribosomal RNA", at positions 2045 to 2764 of the family's 2925-position model. Lineage: Bacteria; Pseudomonadati; Pseudomonadota; Gammaproteobacteria; Enterobacterales; Enterobacteriaceae. The record is from RNAcentral.